Molecule: long non-coding RNA, 2407 nt
Organism: Alligator mississippiensis (American alligator)
Lineage: Eukaryota; Metazoa; Chordata; Crocodylia; Alligatoridae
Exons: 2
Source: RefSeq, a predicted model, not a curated record
UAUGCAGCUUAAAGAUGCAGACAGAAGGGACAAAUUUUUGCUUAAUUUGGGCCCUGACAGCACUCUACAGCUAUGACCAAACACAAGUGCAUAGCUUCUCCAUGCUUUAAAAGGGCCUGACCCCAUGACAAUCUGAACCGUCAUUAUGGUUCAGAUGAAGGUGCUCCAAGGCAUUCCUUCAUUAACCUUUGCCUGCACACACUGGGAGCAGGGCUCAGCUGAUGUAGCCCAUCUGUGCUACAAAUGCUGUUUUCAGAAUGGAAGGAGGGAAGAAAGCAGAGGGAUCUUAUUCUGGGGUUGCCCAGCCAGCACUGGAGGGUGGGGUGGGUAGACUGCAACCCCCCCCAAGGCAGGGGGCUCCAAUCUACCACUUCCACUAGACCCUCCUCCCCUGCCUUCUCCCACUCCCAUCCUGAGAUAGAAUGGGAGCUCGGGGGGACAGAGCUAGGGGAAGAGGCUGCAGAGAUGCAGUCUCUCUCCCUGGAUUGGAUCAGAAGUAAAGCUUCAUUUCCUCUACCCUCAUGACCCAACAGCUAACGUCUUUUGGGUCUGGAGAAUUGGUUUAAUUCAUAGCAUUUUCUGUGAAGUACUAUGAAUUAGACCCAUGGGCUGCAUUUCCGUCUGUGCCUUAAGUUAGCCCUGGAGUACAGUGGUUAGGAAAUUUCCAUAUGACAUUAUGAAAAGAAGAGUCAAAAUCCUGCACAUGGUAACUACAUCAGCUCAGAGUAGUAUGAUUUAAGUCAUUCUUAAGCAACAGGUUUAGCAUGCCACAUGCAAUUGCUGCAUUCUAGCCAUUUUAAGGAACAGUGUCUGUCUCUGGUUUGUAACAUGAUUUGGCUCAGCUUAAAAUCCCAAGACCACAAGAUUUUAUGUGGCCUUUUCUACUUUUGCAAGGUGGGUAGAUACAACUCACCCGUGCAGCUCCAUCACUGCGAGCAGUAGUAGGGAUUGUGGUGAUAGAGGUCAUGUAAUUAAUUACUUGUUUUCUUACCCUUAGAGCUAUCAGCAUCUCAUCUACACUAGAACACCCAGUAUUGGUACCAGCAGGGAGGUGCAUUGAUGGUCUGGGCCCCAAUUACCACUUUACAGAGAAUUAUAUAAAAAUUCUCUUGCUUAAUUUACAACUCUCAUUGAAAUCACUGGAAGCCUUUCCAUUGAUUUCAGUAGACGUUAGAUCAGUACUUCAUUAUUAUAAAUUAUAUAGUGUGAUAGAUACAUAUCAUGGCUUAGAAAACACAAAGAGGUCCUUGCCCAAUGUAUUUGUAAUCUAAAUUAGCACACUUGAUUAGUUUGUAUACAUUUUGAAGAUACAAAGUGCUGCAUAAAUACUAAGUAACAUUAUUGGACAGAUGCCUUGCAAACAAUUAAAGGUGAGACUAGGUGAUGGAAGUGAUAGUCAAGCAACAAAAGUUGUGGCCACCGACUGAGCUCUUGGUAAUUAAUAGACAAUGACUUUCUUUGAAUAGGCACUUAUUUUUCUUUGCUUAUGCUGCUAGUUCCUUACUAGGAAAGAGAAUUUUAGAUCCCUAAAGUCAUGCAAGCACCACUUUAUAGGUGUUUACUCACUGCCAAAUCAGCUCAUAAAGCAGUCUUCCAGAGCCUACCGAAAGAUAAACUUCAGCUCUAAGUGGCAAGUUGUGUUCUCAGCACACAGCCCAAGCAUGCCAGGACUCCACGGGGCACAGGAGAAAGAGUCUUCACACACGGACCUGUCAAGUGAAAACAUAGCCCAUAACAGUGUUUAAAGCUUAAACAAAUAAAAAGGAAGGAAAAGGAAAAUUGGCACUUAUAAGGCAGCCUGCUGUAACCUCUUGCUCCGGUAUGUCGUGUGUUGUUUGUUUUGGUAUCAUGGAUAUAUUUAGAAAAUAGUCAUCUGUUAGACUGCAUUGGAACAGCUCUUAUAUUUUAAGAAGUGCUUCAUGUUCUGUAUCAUAACUUCUUAAAUGUAUUCUUAUAAAAAUUCUUAUUACAUGCCAGACGAUUUUAUUCUGCGGCCAAAUUUCACCAGCCUUAUUUAUACUGUGGUAUGUCCUCAGCCUGAUUUAAACUUUACUGGAGCAACGGCAAUGAACUUGAAGGAUUGUUCUCACUCUGUGAAUGGUUCCAUUGAAAUCAGGGGAACUACACAUCGGAUAAGGAACUACUGACCAAGGGAGAGUGACAAUCUGGGCCUCAAGAAUCAGUUCUGUGCUUUAGGGAAUCACCUCUUCUAUAUAGGUUCAUAUACCAGGCUCGUUACUCCAGUAUCUGAGUGCUGGCUGUGUACCAAGCAACAUGACUUAGUAUGUCGUGUGUGGGGGUUUUUUUGUUUUGUUUUAUUUUUUCUUUCAUCCUCUCCCAAGGGGGAGAGUUGUGUAGUGCAGUUUUUUUCUUUUGGAAUUUUUUAAAUAAUAAAUUGUAUUACAUA